Papio anubis (olive baboon) is the source of this 117-nucleotide unclassified non-coding RNA. It matches the Rfam family "Metazoan signal recognition particle RNA". Rfam says of the family: The signal recognition particle (SRP) is a universally conserved ribonucleoprotein. It is involved in the co-translational targeting of proteins to membranes. The record is from Ensembl. Lineage: Eukaryota; Metazoa; Chordata; Mammalia; Primates; Cercopithecidae.
GCCGGGCGUGGUGGCUCACGCCUGUAAUCCCAGCACUUUGGGAGGCCGAGAUGGGUGGAUCACCUGAGGUCAGGGGUUCGAGACCAGCCUGGCCAACAUGGCAAAACCCCAUCUCUU